GGUUAAGCGACUAAGCGUACACGGUGGAUGCCCUGGCAGUCAGAGGCGAUGAAGGACGUGCUAAUCUGCGAAAAGCGUCGGUAAGGUGAUAUGAACCGUUAUAACCGGCGAUGUCCGAAUGGGGAAACCCAGUGCAAUUCGUUGCACUAUCGUUAACUGAAUACAUAGGUUAACGAGGCGAACCGGGGAACUGAAACAUCUAAGUACCCCGAGGAAAAGAAAUCAACCGAGAUUCCCCCAGUAGCGGCGAGCGAACGGGGAGCAGCCCAGAGUCUGAAUCAGCUUGUGUGUUAGUGGAACGGUCUGGAAAGUCCGACGGUACAGGGUGAUAGUCCCGUACACCAAAAUGCACAGGCUGUGAACUCGAAGAGUAGGGCGGGACACGUGGUAUCCUGUCUGAAUAUGGGGGGACCAUCCUCCAAGGCUAAAUACUCCUGACUGACCGAUAGUGAACCAGUACCGUGAGGGAAAGGCGAAAAGAACCCCGGCGAGGGGAGUGAAAAAGAACCUGAAACCGUGUACGUACAAGCAGUGGGAGCACCUUCGGGUGUGACUGCGUACCUUUUGUAUAAUGGGUCAGCGACUUAUAUUCUGUAGCAAGGUUAACCGUAUAGGGGAGCCGCAGGGAAACCGAGUCUUAACUGGGCGUUAAGUUGCAGGGUAUAGACCCGAAACCCGGUGAUCUAGCCAUGGGCAGGUUGAAGGUUGGGUAACACUAACUGGAGGACCGAACCGACUAAUGUUGAAAAAUUAGCGGAUGACUUGUGGCUGGGGGUGAAAGGCCAAUCAAACCGGGAGAUAGCUGGUUCUCCCCGAAAGCUAUUUAGGUAGCGCCUCGUGAAUUCAUCUUCGGGGGUAGAGCACUGUUUCGGCUAGGGGGUCAUCCCGACUUACCAACCCGAUGCAAACUACGAAUACCGAAGAAUGUUAUCACGGGAGACACACGGCGGGUGCUAACGUCCGUCGUGAAGAGGGAAACAACCCAGACCGCCAGCUAAGGUCCCAAAGUCAUGGUUAAGUGGGAAACGAUGUGGGAAGGCACAGACAGCCAGGAUGUUGGCUUAGAAGCAGCCAUCAUUUAAAGAAAGCGUAAUAGCUCACUGGUCGAGUCGGCCUGCGCGGAAGAUGUAACGGGGCUAAACCAUGCACCGAAGCUGCGGCAGCGACACUAUGUGUUGUUGGGUAGGGGAGCGUUCUGUAAGCCUGCGAAGGUGUGCUGUGAGGCAUGCUGGAGGUAUCAGAAGUGCGAAUGCUGACAUAAGUAACGAUAAAGCGGGUGAAAAGCCCGCUCGCCGGAAGACCAAGGGUUCCUGUCCAACGUUAAUCGGGGCAGGGUGAGUCGACCCCUAAGGCGAGGCCGAAAGGCGUAGUCGAUGGGAAACAGGUUAAUAUUCCUGUACUUGGUGUUACUGCGAAGGGGGACGGAGAAGGCUAUGUUAGCCGGGCGACGGUUGUCCCGGUUUAAGCAUGUAGGCUGGUUGUCCAGGCAAAUCCGGAUAAUCAAGGCUGAGGUGUGAUGACGAGGCACUACGGUGCUGAAGUAACAAAUGCCCUGCUUCCAGGAAAAGCCUCUAAGCAUCAGGUAACAUCAAAUCGUACCCCAAACCGACACAGGUGGUCAGGUAGAGAAUACCAAGGCGCUUGAGAGAACUCGGGUGAAGGAACUAGGCAAAAUGGUGCCGUAACUUCGGGAGAAGGCACGCUGGUGUGUAGGUGAAGCCCCUGCGGGUGGAGCUGAGACCAGUCGAAGAUACCAGCUGGCUGCAACUGUUUAUUAAAAACACAGCACUGUGCAAACACGAAAGUGGACGUAUACGGUGUGACGCCUGCCCGGUGCCGGAAGGUUAAUUGAUGGGGUUAUCCGUAAGGAGAAGCUCUUGAUCGAAGCCCCGGUAAACGGCGGCCGUAACUAUAACGGUCCUAAGGUAGCGAAAUUCCUUGUCGGGUAAGUUCCGACCUGCACGAAUGGCGUAAUGAUGGCCAGGCUGUCUCCACCCGAGACUCAGUGAAAUUGAACUCGCUGUGAAGAUGCAGUGUACCCGCGGCAAGACGGAAAGACCCCGUGAACCUUUACUAUAGCUUGACACUGAACAUUGAACCUUGAUGUGUAGGAUAGGUGGGAGGCUUUGAAGCGUGGACGCCAGUCUGCGUGGAGCCAACCUUGAAAUACCACCCUUUAAUGUUUGAUGUUCUAACGUUGGCCCCUGACCGGGGUUGCGGACAGUGUCUGGUGGGUAGUUUGAGGGGGCGGUCUCCUCCCAAAGCGUAACGGAGGAGCACGAAGGUUAGCUAAUCCUGGUCGGACAUCAGGAGGUUAGUGCAAUGGCAUAAGCUAGCUUGACUGCGAGCGUGACGGCGCGAGCAGGUGCGAAAGCAGGUCAUAGUGAUCCGGUGGUUCUGAAUGGAAGGGCCAUCGCUCAACGGAUAAAAGGUACUCCGGGGAUAACAGGCUGAUACCGCCCAAGAGUUCAUAUCGACGGCGGUGUUUGGCACCUCGAUGUCGGCUCAUCACAUCCUGGGGCUGAAGUAGGUCCCAAGGGUAUGGCUGUUCGCCAUUUAAAGUGGUACGCGAGCUGGGUUUAGAACGUCGUGAGACAGUUCGGUCCCUAUCUGCCGUGGGCGCUGGAGAAUUGAGGGGGCUGCUCCUAGUACGAGAGGACCGGAGUGGACGCAUCACUGGUGUUCGGGUUGUCAUGCCAAUGGCACUGCCCGGUAGCUAAAUGCGGAAGAGAUAAGUGCUGAAAGCAUCUAAGCACGAAACUUGCCCCGAGAUGAGUUCUCCCUGAGACUUUAAGUCUCCUGAAGGAACGUUAAAGACGAUGACGUUGAUAGGCCGGGUGUGUAAGCGCAGCGAUGCGUUGAGCUAACCGGUACUAAUGAACCGUGAGGCUUAACCUU
This 2898-nucleotide ribosomal RNA is filed under the name Klebsiella pneumoniae. Its description in RNAcentral is "23S ribosomal RNA". It matches the Rfam family "Bacterial large subunit ribosomal RNA". Lineage: Bacteria; Pseudomonadati; Pseudomonadota; Gammaproteobacteria; Enterobacterales; Enterobacteriaceae. The record is from RNAcentral.